AACGCGAAGAACCUUACCUGGGCUCGAACGGCUAGUGACAGGCGGCGAAAGUCGUUUUUCCCGCAAGGGACAGUAGUAGAGGUGCUGCAUGGCUGUCGUCAGCUCGUGCCGUGAGGUGUUGGGUUAAGUCCCGCAACGAGCGCAACCCUUACUCGUAGUUGCCACCCGCAAGGGGGAACUCUACGAGGACUGCUCCGGAUAACGGAGAGGAAGGUGGGGAUGACGUCAAGUCAGCACGGCCUUUAUGUCCAGGGCUACACACGUGUUACAAUGCGCGGCACAGACUGUUGCGAACCCGCGAGGGGGAGCUAAUCGGACAAAACCGCGCUCAGUUCGGAUUGCAGUCUGCAACUCGGCUGCAUGAAGCUGGAAUCGCUAGUAAUGGCGUAUCAGAUCGACGCCGUGAAUACGUUCCCGGGCCUUGUACACACCGCUAGUC
RNAcentral lists this ribosomal RNA (439 nucleotides) under uncultured bacterium. Its description in RNAcentral is "bacterial SSU rRNA". It matches the Rfam family "Bacterial small subunit ribosomal RNA", at positions 958 to 1398 of the family's 1533-position model. The record is from RNAcentral.